This 465-nucleotide ribosomal RNA is filed under the name Vreelandella stevensii. RNAcentral's name for it is "partial 16S ribosomal RNA". It matches the Rfam family "Bacterial small subunit ribosomal RNA", at positions 338 to 795 of the family's 1533-position model. The record is from RNAcentral. Lineage: Bacteria; Pseudomonadati; Pseudomonadota; Gammaproteobacteria; Oceanospirillales; Halomonadaceae.
CCUACGGGGGGCAGCAGUGGGGAAUAUUGGACAAUGGGGGCAACCCUGAUCCAGCCAUGCCGCGUGUGUGAAGAAGGCCCUCGGGUUGUAAAGCACUUUCAGUGAGGAAGAACGCCUGGUGGUUAAUACCCAUCAGGAAAGACAUCACUCACAGAAGAAGCACCGGCUAACUCCGUGCCAGCAGCCGCGGUAAUACGGAGGGUGCGAGCGUUAAUCGGAAUUACUGGGCGUAAAGCGCGCGUAGGUGGCUUGAUAAGCCGGUUGUGAAAGCCCCGGGCUCAACCUGGGAACGGCAUCCAGAACUGUCAAGCUAGAGUGCAGGAGAGGAAGGUAGAAUUCCCGGUGUAGCGGUGAAAUGCGUAGAGAUCGGGAGGAAUACCAGUGGCGAAGGCGGCCUUCUGGACUGACACUGACACUGAGGUGCGAAAGCGUGGGUAGCAAACAGGAUUAGAUACCCGGGUAGUC